AUUGAACGCUGGCGGCAUGCCUUACACAUGCAAGUCGAACGGCAGCACGGGAGCAAUCCUGGUGGCGAGUGGCGAACGGGUGAGUAAUACAUCGGAACGUGCCCAGUAGUGGGGGAUAGCCCGGCGAAAGCCGGAUUAAUACCGCAUACGACCUACGGGUGAAAGCGGGGGAUCGCAAGACCUCGCGCUAUUGGAGCGGCCGAUGUCAGAUUAGCUUGUUGGCGGGGAAAAGCCCACCAAGGCGACGAUCUGUAGCUGGUCUGAGAGGACGACCAGCCACACUGGGACUGAGACACGGCCCAGACUCCUACGGGAGGCAGCAGUGGGGAAUUUUGGACAAUGGGCGCAAGCCUGAUCCAGCCAUGCCGCGUGUGGGAAGAAGGCU
RNAcentral lists this ribosomal RNA (385 nucleotides) under uncultured bacterium. RNAcentral's name for it is "bacterial SSU rRNA". It matches the Rfam family "Bacterial small subunit ribosomal RNA", at positions 29 to 416 of the family's 1533-position model. The record is from RNAcentral.